AGUCGACGGCAGCACAGGGAGCUUGCUCCCGGGUGGCGAGUGGCGCACGGGUGAGUAAUACAUCGGAACGUGUCCUGUUGUGGGGGAUAACUGCUCGAAAGGGUGGCUAAUACCGCAUGAGACCUGAGGGUGAAAGCGGGGGAUCGCAAGACCUCGCGCAAUUGGAGCGGCCGAUGCCCGAUUAGCUAGUUGGUGAGGUAAAGGCUCACCAAGGCGACGAUCGGUAGCUGGUCUGAGAGGACGACCAGCCACACUGGGACUGAGACACGGCCCAGACUCCUACGGGAGGCAGCAGUGGGGAAUUUUGGACAAUGGGGGCAACCCUGAUCCAGCCAUGCCGCGUGCAGGAUGAAGGCCUUCGGGUUGUAAACUGCUUUUGUCAGGGACGAAAAGGACCGUGUUAAUACCAUGGUCUGCUGACGGUACCUGAAGAAUAAGCACCGGCUAACUACGUGCCAGCAGCCGCGGCAAUACGUAGGGUGCAAGCGUUAAUCGGAAUUACUGGGCGUAAAGCGUGCGCAGGCGGUUCUGUAAGACAGAUGUGAAAUCCCCGGGCUCAACCUGGGAAUUGCAUUUGUGACUG
RNAcentral lists this ribosomal RNA (583 nucleotides) under uncultured bacterium. RNAcentral's name for it is "bacterial SSU rRNA". It matches the Rfam family "Bacterial small subunit ribosomal RNA", at positions 60 to 635 of the family's 1533-position model. The record is from RNAcentral.